This 538-nucleotide ribosomal RNA is filed under the name bacterium EI28. RNAcentral's name for it is "bacterial SSU rRNA". It matches the Rfam family "Bacterial small subunit ribosomal RNA", at positions 59 to 584 of the family's 1533-position model. The record is from RNAcentral.
AAGUCGAACGGUAACAGGAAGAAGCUUGCUUGCUUUCGCUGACGAGUGGCGGACGGGUGAGUAAUGUCUGGGAAACUGCCUGAUGGAGGGGGAUAACUACUGGAAACGGUAGCUAAUACCGCAUAACGUCGCAAGACCAAAGAGGGGGACCUUCGGGCCUCUUGCCAUCGGAUGUGCCCAGAUGGGAUUAGCUUGUAGGUGGGGUAACGGCUCACCUAGGCGACGAUCCCUAGCUGGUCUGAGAGGAUGACCAGCCACACUGGAACUGAGACACGGUCCAGACUCCUACGGGAGGCAGCAGUGGGGAAUAUUGCACAAUGGGCGCAAGCCUGAUGCAGCCAUGCCGCGUGUAUGAAGAAGGCCUUCGGGUUGUAAAGUACUUUCAGCGGGGAGGAAGGGAGUAAAGUUAAUACCUUUGCUCAUUGACGUUACCCGCAGAAGAAGCACCGGCUAACUCCGUGCCAGCAGCCGCGGUAAUACGGAGGGUGCAAGCGUUAAUCGGAAUUACUGGGCGUAAAGCGCACGCAGGCGGUUUGUU